AUGAUGUGGUUUAAUUCGAUGCAACGCGAAAACCUUACCCACCUUUGACAUGUACGGAACCCUUUAGAGAUAGAGGGGUGCUCGAAAGAGAGCCGUAACACAGGUGCUGCAUGGCUGUCGUCAGCUCGUGUCGUGAGAUGUUGGGUUAAGUCCCGCAACGAGCGCAACCCUUGUCAUUAGUUGCUACAUUCAGUUGGGCACUCUAAUGAGACUGCCGGUGACAAGCCGGAGGAAGGUGGGGAUGACGUCAAGUCCUCAUGGCCCUUAUAGGUGGGGCUACACACGUCAUACAAUGGCUGGUACAAAGGGUUGCCAACCCGCGAGGGGGAGCCAAUCCCAUAAAGCCAGUCGUAGUCCGGAUCGUAGUCUGCAACUCGACUACGUGAAGUCGGAAUCGCUAGUAAUCGUGGAUCAGAAUGUCACGGUGAAUACGUUCCCGGGUCUU
RNAcentral lists this ribosomal RNA (445 nucleotides) under uncultured Rhodoferax sp. RNAcentral's name for it is "bacterial SSU rRNA". It matches the Rfam family "Bacterial small subunit ribosomal RNA", at positions 936 to 1382 of the family's 1533-position model. The record is from RNAcentral. Lineage: Bacteria; Pseudomonadati; Pseudomonadota; Betaproteobacteria; Burkholderiales; Comamonadaceae.